Molecule: ribosomal RNA, 1832 nt
Filed under: human oral metagenome
Description: eukaryotic LSU rRNA
Rfam family: Eukaryotic large subunit ribosomal RNA
Source: RNAcentral
UCCCCUGCCCCACGCCGCGUGCCGCUCCCUACCCCGCCCCCUCUCUCCCUGUCCUCCCCCUCCCUGGGGUUGGCGGUGGCCAUAGGGCCCUGUUGGUGGGGCAUGACCUCCCGUGAUGGGGCCCAGGGGGCUGGUGUUGGCCGUGACUCUGGACGCAAGUUGGGCCAUUCCCGUGGAUUACCCCAGUUGUGGCCGCCCAUGGGGAGCCUGGUGGUUGCUGGUGUGCCCUGUCUCGCUCCGCACCAUCGUGUAUGUCCGCGUGGGCAGGGAACGACCGGGUGUCCGUGGGUGGUGGGCGGGGUGGUUCGUUCCCCCACCUCCCCCGGGCCCCAUCCUUCUCCUGUCCCCACCUCUGUGGCGGUGGCGGGCUGCUGGCUGGUCCCUGCCCCCGGGGCUGCGGUUCCGUGCAGCGCCUCGGCCAGUGCUUAGCAGCCGACUUAGAACUGGUGUGCACCAGGGGAAUCCGACUGUUUAAACAAAGCAUCGCGAAGGCCCUUGGGGGCUGUUGCAAAGUGAUUUCUGCCAAUUGCUCUGAAUGUCAAAAUGAAGAAACUCAAUGAAGCACGGGUAAAUGGAGGGAGUAACUGUGACUCUCUUAAGGUAGCCAAAUGCUUCGUCAUCUAACUAGUGAUGUGCAUGAAUGGAUGAAUGAGAUUCUCACUGUCCCUACCUACUUACUCUCCAGUGAAACAACAGCCAAGGGAAUGGGAUUGGUGGAAUCAGUGGGGAAAGAAGACCCUGUUGAGCUUGACUCUAGUCUGGCAUGGUGAAGAGAUGUGAGAGAUGUAGAAUAAGUGGGAGGUCCCCUGUGAUCCCCUGUCCCCCUGAGGGGGAGGGGUGGGGUCCUGUGGGCUGCCCGUGGAAUACUACCACUCUGAUAGUUUUUUCACUGACCUGGUGAGGCAGGGGGUGAGCUCUGAGGGGCUCUCCCUUCUGGCGCCAAGUGUCCAGCUGUGCGCUGGCUGGGUGUGACCCAUUCCGGGGACAGUGCCAGGUGGGGAGUUUGCAGCGGUACACCUGUUGAACGGUAAUGCUGGUGUCCUAAGGCGAGCUCAGGGAGGACAGAAACUUCGUGAGGAGAAGGGCAAAAGCUCGCUUGAUCUUGAUUUUCAGUGGGAAUACAGACUGAAAGCUGGGCUUUGACUAUCCUUCUGACCUUUUUAAGCAGGAGGUUGUCAGGAAGUUACCACAGGAGAUAACUGGCUUGUUGUGGCCAAGUGUUCAUAAGGACGUUGCUUUUUGAUCCUUUGAUGUUGGCUCUUCCUAUCAUUGUGAAGUAGAAUUCACCCAGCAUUGGAUUGUUCAACUAAUAGGGCAUGUGAGCUGGAUUUAGACCGUCGUGAGACAGGUUAGUUUUACCCUACAUGAUGUGUUGCCAUGGUACCUGCUCAGCAUGAGAGGAACCACAGGUUCAGACAUGUGCUUGGUUGAGGAGCCAAUGGGGUGAAACUACCAUCUGUUGGAUUAUGACUGAAUGCCUCUAAGUCAGAAUCCCACCCAGGUGGAAGGAUACAGCAACGUCAUGGAGCCUUGGUUGGCCUUGGAUAGCUGGUUCCCCAUCCCUGCUGGUGGGCUGCGGCGCCCUGGGUUAGGUGUGUCCCACCAUGUGCCAGGACUGGGUCCGGUGCAGAGUGCCCUUCAUCCUGGGAAGGGUGUGGCUGGAAAGGCUACCUACUCGCCCGUCACGCAGCAUACAUUCGGGGGGAAGUUGGCACUAAACCAUUCAUAGACGACCUGCUUCCGGGUCAGAGUUUCGUAAGUAGCAGAACAGCUCCCUCUCUGUGAUCUAUUGUAAGUCAGCCCUUGACAGAAGGGUUUGUCCGCGUGUGUGU